RNAcentral lists this transfer RNA (77 nucleotides) under Desmophyllum pertusum. Its description in RNAcentral is "tRNA-Thr". The stretch from base 10 to 71 matches the Rfam family "tRNA", at positions 6 to 65 of the family's 71-position model. From Rfam's summary of the family: Transfer RNA (tRNA) molecules are approximately 80 nucleotides in length. Their secondary structure includes four short double-helical elements and three loops (D, anti-codon, and T loops). The record is from RNAcentral. Lineage: Eukaryota; Metazoa; Cnidaria; Anthozoa; Scleractinia; Caryophylliidae.
GUUUAUACACAUAGCUCAGUUGGUAGAGCAACGCACUAGUAACGCGGAGGUCAUGGGUUCAAAUCCCGUUGAAGCCA